Molecule: long non-coding RNA, 767 nt
Filed under: Monodelphis domestica (gray short-tailed opossum)
Lineage: Eukaryota; Metazoa; Chordata; Mammalia; Didelphimorphia; Didelphidae
Description: lncRNA (ENSMODG00000048106.1)
Source: RNAcentral
UAAGCAGAGGGGAUAGGACUGAAGAGAUAGAUUCUAGAAUUCUCUGUAUAGAACAUGGACACCUGGCUACUUAUGAGGUCACCAAAUGAGAGAAUGUAGAAAGAAGAGAAGAAGGUGCAGAGCAGAGACUUGACAUAUCCCUACUGUUAGUGAAAAAUCUCAUGGAUGAUUAUGUAGGAAAAGAGUCUGAGGAAGGAAUGGUCAGAAAGUUAGGGAAGAAAGAAGAAAAGUAAAAUGAAAGAGAACAAAGUGAGGAGAUUCUUCUACUUUUGAAGUCGAACACUAUAUUCCAAUUCAUGAAAAUGAAUGAAGAAAUUGUUCCUGGCCUUGUAACAACCAAUCUCUGAAUGCUGGUCUAUGGAAUUGUUUCUCAGAAAAUAAGGUAUUCUUUCACAUAGACCAGUAAAUGAAUGAAAUGGAAUUUACCAAAAGGAUGCUAUGUGAUGAAGGUAACUCUGCAAAAGGACAUCUCUUAAAAUUGAGGAUUUGAAUCAUUCUGAAAAAUGAAGAUGUUGGACCAAAUCUCUGUGGUUUCCUUCUAAUUCAAAAAUUCUAUGAUUUUGACUAACCCUCUCUUGAUAUAUAUCCAGCUGAUUCAUCCAGUAUCACAGGUACCACCUUUUACCUAACCCAUCCCAUGUUUCAUUUCUGAGAUUAUAUUGGAUACUGAAAUUUCUAUUUUUAAAUACAUUGCUUUUUAAGGUCUGUUUGAGCUUGCUUUCUGCUGUUUCUCAUAUAAGAUGAACAGUAUAUUACUUUUUUAAAUG